UACGUAGGGGGCAAGCGUUGUCCGGAUUACUGGGCGUAAAGAGCGUGUAGGCGGCCAAGCAGGUCCGUUGUGAAAACUGGAGGCUUAACCUCCAGACGUCGAUGGAAACCAUCUGGCUAGAGUCCGGAAGAGGAGAGUGGAAUUCCUGGUGUAGCGGUCGAAAUGCGCAGAUAUCAGGAAGAACACCCGUGGCGAAGGCGCUCUCUGGUACGUGACUGACGCUGAGACGCGAAAGCG
RNAcentral lists this ribosomal RNA (237 nucleotides) under uncultured bacterium. RNAcentral describes it as "partial 16S ribosomal RNA". It matches the Rfam family "Bacterial small subunit ribosomal RNA", at positions 524 to 761 of the family's 1533-position model. The record is from RNAcentral.